UUGAUAAAGACGCUAAAAACAGAAGCUUCAGUCCCGGUGACACAGUGUUAGUUUUGUUGCCUGUACCUAGUUCGGCUCUACAAGCUCGUUACAGCGGUCCUUAAGUGGUCAAGGAGAAACUAGGUGAUCGAGAUUACAUUGUAGCCACCCCUGACCGUAAACGACGUAACCGAGUGUGUCAUGUAAACAUGUUGAAGCCUUACCUCUGCAGGGAAUCUACUCAUCCGACUCCUGGCAGUGAAGUGCACAACACCGUGCUGGCGCUGUCCAGUGCUGAAGCCGCGUUGAGUUCCCAGGUGACGGAGGAGCUGUCCGGUGCUGGAACCCCCGGGGUGCUGCCUACAGUGGCUGCAGCUGACCUCGAGGACGUGGUGGGUCCGUCCCUAGCUGUGGUCCAAGGCAGACUGCAGAAUUCUGCAAUGUUGUCUAAACUUGACGAGUGUUUUUUGCACCUCACUGAGUCCCACCGUGAGGAUGUGGUCCAGUUAAUUAAAUCGAAUGAUUCAUUGUUUUCUGAUGUGUCCACACAAACUAAUGUCCUUGAGCACGAUAUCGACGUGGGUGACGCUUCUCCGAUUAAGCAGCAUGCUUAUCGGGUAAAUCCGGAGAAGCGUGCUCGCCUACAAAAACAGGUCGACUAUAUGCUGGAGAACGGCAUUGCCGAACAGAGCUCCAGCUCGUGGAGUUCACCGUGUCUCCUGUCAGUGAAGUCCGAUUCAUCUGAUCGUUUUUGUACGGACUUCCGUAAAGUUAAUGGUGUCACUAAGCCCGAUUGUUAUCCACUCCCUCGAAUCGAUGACUGUGUGGAUCAUGUCGGCAGUGCUACUUAUGUGACAAAGCUAGAUCUCCUUAAAGGCUAUUGGCAGGUACCGUUGACUCCGCGCACUAAGGAGAUAACUGCGUUUGUCACUCCAGACGCCUUUUUGCAGUAUACGGUUAUGCCGUUCGGCGUAAGAAAUGCCCCGGCGACUUUUCAGCGUUUGGUCAACACUGUUUUGCAUGGUUUACCUGGUUUUGAGGCUUACCUCGACGAUAUAGUGGUGUAUUCGAGAUCGUGGGUGGACCAUAUUCAGCAGCUAGGGGCAGUGUUUGCAAGGCUACGUGACGCCAAUCUGACCCUUGGCAAAAUGUGAAUUUGGUCAGGCCACUGUCACAUACCUAGGAAAGGUUGUGGGUCAUGGGCAAGUUAGGCCAGUAGAGGCGAAGGUUGAGGCGAUCCUGCGUGAGGGGUUUGGUUGCGUUUAUAAACUUUCCUUUUGUGAUUAACAUUGUGUUCUUUUCGUUUCAGGUACUUUGGCUAUUCCCUCCCCACGCAUGUUUAGAUUGCUGGGUUUUGUUGUUUUAGUUUGGCUGUAGUUGCUGGUACUCCUGUUUUCGCUGUUUUCUUUUGUAGUUAGGAAGUUUAGUACGGGGUGGUGACUGGUCCGAGAGCCCACUGCAGGGUUAGCCACGUUCACCACCCCUCUUUUGUUUCUUUUGGCCAGCAGCUACAGCCCUUUUACUUUCACCAUUAUUUUCAUCUUGGUUGAUUCACGUUAGUUGAAUUAAUUGUUAAUAAAGUUGUUUUUUUCUCCCCCAUUCUCACUUUACCUGCCGUGUCUGUCUAGUUUAUAUGUUGCCGGUCUCUUUGUUUAUUCGAGCCUUGUCAACUUUAAAGAGGCCGUAACAACCUGCACAUGAGGAAAAUCACUCCUGUAGAAUGCAGAUGUUCAGAGGGAGAUGAUGCCACAUCUGGUCCAGCUGAUGGAAGGUCUUGAAGUUCUCUGACUGGCCUCGACUGAAGAUGGUCGUCUCACUGGAUUUAAGCUGCACAAUGAGGGACGUCUGCAGAGACUGAGAAAGAGUCUCACCACAUCCUGACAUGAGGAAAAAGACUUUAUUGAAGACUACAAUGAGAAAAACUAUCAGACAGCAGACGGCUGCAUUUAAGAGAAGAAGACCAUCAAACAUCCACGUCAGCUGAUGGAGGUCCAAGAGUCUCACCGAACAGCCAACCUACAGAGUGAAGACCUCGAAUCUGAUUGGACGGCCUCCUAUUCAGCCACAUGUGUGAACAAAUGCCUCUAAGCUGAU
This is a long non-coding RNA of Amphiprion ocellaris (clown anemonefish), 2073 nucleotides long. The record is from Ensembl. Lineage: Eukaryota; Metazoa; Chordata; Actinopteri; Pomacentridae.